UCCAAUCGACCCUACCAUAAAAUAACGUUUUUGAUGUUGAAGUGUGUUAGGAUAGGGAAUCCCGUAUAGUGUAGAAUUAAACAAAGUAAUCAAUUAAAGACAAUAGCAAAGACAAUAAUAACUAUAAGUUGAGGAAACAAAGGAGGCACAAAUUUAACGUAGUUCGGUCAACUUGACCUACAUCCACUACCAAAAGGAGGAGCAAUUUUACUAAAUAUAAUGGAAUAAGAAAGAGUACAAGGGAAUAAAAGAGAAUACAAAAUUAGAAUAAUUAAAUAAUCUCAUAUCUCAAAUAUCCCAAUGGAAUAGCAUCACGAGAUCACUCUUAAAAAGGGUUCACCAAAGUUUUUUCCAACACAACUUUCUCUUAAAUACUCUCUAAAAAAAAGCAACAACUAAGAUUCUAUAAAAUUGGUGUGUCUAUGGUGAAAGAAACACUUCUAUUUAUAGCAGAAAAGUUCUUGUUGUCCAAGUAUUUGAUGUCAUGGAUGAUGUCAAUCAAACUUUGGCCCCAAAUAAAAUCUCUUGGUAAAGAUUUCCAACAAAAUAUCAUGAGAUUUUUAUAAAAAAUAUGAAGAAAUUUUUCAAUAAUAUAUUGUCCAAGAUAUGGCAACAUUACAAAGUGAAAUGAAAUAUGAUUAUUGAUGCAGUAGUAUAACAUCGUAUUUUGCCUGAUGUUGUGAGUAGCUGUAUUCUAAUUCUCUCCUUGGUCAUAUCAGUAUCGCAAGCUUGAAGACCUGGGGUGAAGUAACAUUAUUUGAAGAUACGGGUUCAACAAAAUUCAGUAGCUUAAGCUUAAAGCUUGUUAUAUUAAGAAAUUUUGUUAACAUAUAUAAUUAAUGUAUCUCAAAUCCACUAAGCAAAAAAGGCUUGCCAUUUAGUAUUCAUCAUGAAUCACCCAAUUAUUGGAUAAGCAUUCUCUUUGAUCCUCAAUCGUAUCUCUUCUAUCAAACCGUGAGUUUUGG
RNAcentral lists this long non-coding RNA (965 nucleotides) under Capsicum annuum. RNAcentral describes it as "long non-coding RNA (CANN_LNC021056)". The record is from RNAcentral. Lineage: Eukaryota; Viridiplantae; Streptophyta; Magnoliopsida; Solanales; Solanaceae.